AGAAGCAUAAUAAAUGUUCAGAAUACAGUGCAAGUUGAGUUUAUAAAAAAAUUUUCUCUGGUUUCUAAGUGUCGUCUGCGCAUGCAAGAAGAAAAUGUAUGAAGAGUAUGUAAUAUUGGUUCCUGCGCUCAUUCUGAAUUGACCUGUGGAAGCGGACAAAUCUUAUCAGAAGCAUAAUAAAUGUUCGGAAUACUGCGUACGUUGAGUAUAUAAAAAAAUUUUCUCUUGUUUAUAAGUGCGUCUGCUCAUGCGCGAAAAAUGGAUAAAUAGCGUGAAAUAUUGCUUCCUGUGCUCAUUCUGCUGUGACCUCUAGAGGCGACCACAUCGGUAAAUCGUAUUAUUUUAUGUAUUAAAUUUAUCUGGAAUAUACUUUUAUAGUUAUUCACACAAAUUUAUUACAGUAUCAGAAGCAUAAGAAAUGUUCGGAAUACGGCGUACGUUGAGUAUAUAAAAAAAAUGUUCUCUUGUUUAUAAGUUUCGUCUGUGCAUGCGCCAAAAAAGGGAUAACUAGGGUGAAAUAUUGCUUCCUGUGCUCAUUCUGCUGUGACCUCUAGAGGCGACCACAUCGUAUCAGAAGCAUAAGAAAUGUUCGGAAUACGGCGUACGUUGAGUAUAUAAAAAAAUUUUCUCUUGUUUAUAAGUGCGUCUGCGCAUGCGCGAAAAAUGGAUAAAUAGCGUGAAAUAUUGCUUCCUGUGCUCAUUCUGCUGUGACCUCUAGAGGCGGCCACAUGGUAUCAGAAGUAAACUAGAGAUUCAGAAUACUGUGCAAGUUGAGUUUAUAAAAGAAUUUUCUCUGGUUUAUAAGUGUCGUCCCCUCAUGCGCAAAAAAUGGAUAAAUAGCGUCAAAUAUUGCCUCCUGUUCUCCUUCUGCUGUGACCUCUAGAGGCGGCCACAUCGUAUCAGAAGCAUAAUAAAUGUUCAGAAUACUGUGCAAGUUGAGUUUAUAAAAAAAUUUUCUCUGGUUUCUAAGUGUCGUCUGCGCAUGCAAGAAGAAAAUGUAUGAAGAGUAUGUAAUAUUGGUUCCUGCGCUCAUUCUGAAUUGACCUCUGGAAGCGGUCAAAUCUGUAAACCCAAUUAUUUUAAAUAUUAAAUUUAUCUGGAAUAUCCUUUUAUAUUUAU
Long non-coding RNA from Nasonia vitripennis (jewel wasp), 1119 nucleotides. RefSeq lists it as uncharacterized. NCBI's taxonomy places the organism in Eukaryota, Metazoa, Arthropoda, Insecta, Hymenoptera, Pteromalidae. The transcript has 5 exons. The record is from RefSeq and is a predicted model, not a curated record.